Long non-coding RNA from Astatotilapia calliptera (eastern happy), 1071 nucleotides. The record is from Ensembl. Lineage: Eukaryota; Metazoa; Chordata; Actinopteri; Cichliformes; Cichlidae.
GGUUCUUUGUGUCUGGGGGUGGGCGUCCGGGUACACACCGGCUCACUCCUUGGCGGCCGCUUAUCGGGGCCUGGAGCCUGGGGCUCGCUCGGGCCACUUCGGAGGCUCGGUCACUCAGGCACAGCUGGCUACCGGCGGAGCUCACGGGCGCGUCACUGCAACUCCCCCUGGCUUCUGCUCCGCGGCUGCUGAGUGAGCCCUCAUCUGGGACUCUCCUCAGCUCUUACUGGGACAGUGGCGCGGCUGCCCCUCUGUUGGUCUUCCUUGGUCUCUUGUGUUCUGGGGGCCUCUGGAUGUCUGGAGUUUUGAUCUCCUCCAUACCUGCUUCAUACCCUGGAGGACGGGGCUGUGGCUCCCCACACUCCCUAGCAGAUCGUUACAUGGAGAAACCUUUGGAAUGCAAGCAUGCUGAUCCACACAGGUAUGCACACAGGUGUACACACGGGUAUUCACAGACGCGGACUGCAGCUUUCUUGGCUGCUGCCUCAAAGCACAUUGUGUGCUGUCUAUCUUGCGUGCUGCACAAUAUCGUUUAUUAUUUAGUAUCUACUGAUAUCUACUGCUAGCUAGUUUAUUGUGAUGGUGCCGUUUUUUUUUUUAUUAUGUUGCUCUUUGUUGUUUGCUUUCUCUUCUGUUUUUUUUCUCCAUACAGGUGACCCAGGUGUUUUGUUUUUUUUGUUUGUUUUUCUUUCUUUCUUCUCCCCCUUCUCACCGUCUCUUCUCCCCUUUGGUUUUCUUUCUCUCCCUCUCUUUCUUUCAUUCUUUCUCCCUGUCCUAUCCCCCAGUCAUGUCUGUCCCGUUUGUAGCAACUGAAAAUAAAAUAAAUUCAUAAUUAUAAUAAAGGUCAAUCAAAUGGACCAAUAUGGCAAGGCCAUGAUGAUCCACUUGGUAAAAUAAAUCCGCUUGGCAUCUUUCUUGGCCUUAAGACAACAAUUCUGAUGGCUAAAGAUCCAAACGGGACAAAAAAAAAAAAAAGGUGUUUGAAGAUCGUCUGAGGUGGUAGAGACGCUGUCGGGCCUUUUUCACCACAGUGUUGAUGUGACAGGACCAUGACAGGUCCUGCGUGAUGUG